This 492-nucleotide ribosomal RNA is filed under the name uncultured bacterium. Its description in RNAcentral is "partial 16S ribosomal RNA". It matches the Rfam family "Bacterial small subunit ribosomal RNA", at positions 29 to 507 of the family's 1533-position model. The record is from RNAcentral.
AGUGAACGCUGGCGGUAGGCCUAACACAUGCAAGUCGAACGGCAGCACAGUAAGAGCUUGCUCUUACGGGUGGCGAGUGGCGGACGGGUGAGGAAUACAUCGGAAUCUACUUUUUCGUGGGGGAUAACGUAGGGAAACUUACGCUAAUACCGCAUACGACCUACGGGUGAAAGCAGGGGAUCUUCGGACCUUGCGCGAUUGAAUGAGCCGAUUUCGGAUUAGCUAGUUGGCGGGGUAAAGGCCCACCAAGGCGACGAUCCGUAGCUGGUCUGAGAGGAUGAUCAGCCACACUGGAACUGAGACACGGUCCAGACUCCUACGGGAGGCAGCAGUGGGGAAUAUUGGACAAAGGGCGCAAGCCUGAUCCAGCCAUACCGCGUGGGUGAAGAAGGCCUUCGGGUUGUAAAGCCCUUUUGUUGGGAAAGAAAAGCAGCAGGUUAAUACCCCGCUGUUCUGACGGUACCCAAAGAAUAAGCACCGGCUAACUUCGUG